Non-coding RNA from Chelonoidis abingdonii (Abingdon island giant tortoise), 274 nucleotides. The record is from RefSeq and is a predicted model, not a curated record. NCBI's taxonomy places the organism in Eukaryota, Metazoa, Chordata, Testudines, Testudinidae.
CUUUCUGAAAGGUCAGAUUCAGAGCCAAUAGGAGAAUCUUCACCUGAAUACCAGGAAGUCUUAUUGUAUGAAUACUGACUUAUCUUUAUUUUAAGGGAUUGCAGAGUCCUUCAUUACAGUACACACACUCAGUGUCAUAAUGCACACUUUAAAAGACAUCAUCAGCACAGGACGGAAUGUUAGUAAGUGGUGUGUGGCCAUUCCAUCUCUUUCACAGUUCCUUUAUGUAUCUCGUUAUGACUGUCACAUGUAUGUUAAGACUAUGGCUGUUAAA